RNAcentral lists this long non-coding RNA (286 nucleotides) under Androctonus crassicauda. The record is from RNAcentral. Lineage: Eukaryota; Metazoa; Arthropoda; Arachnida; Scorpiones; Buthidae.
CAAGCCCCUAAAGCUCACCACUGAUUACAGGGUAUAUCAGCAGCUAGAGCAUCUAUGCACUGCCUUGUAGAAAAGAAUGUCUAACUUUCUUAAUCAUAAAGAUGUGGUGUUGUAUGAAAUCACAUAUAGCCAGAAUGACUUCAAAUUGCAAGAGUUUGAAUGGGAAAACUUCCCUAUCCAGUAUAUUCCCCUUAUCUUGCAUUAUCUAAUUACCACUUGUUUUGAAGCCUCAAAUACUAUCUUUCUGGGGAAAAGCUUUGAAAUGUUAAAGAGAUGCACUGAGCCG